This 441-nucleotide ribosomal RNA is filed under the name uncultured bacterium. Its description in RNAcentral is "partial 16S ribosomal RNA". It matches the Rfam family "Bacterial small subunit ribosomal RNA", at positions 338 to 795 of the family's 1533-position model. The record is from RNAcentral.
CCUACGGGAGGCAGCAGUGGGGGAUAUUGCACAAUGGGGGAAACCCUGAUGCAGCGACGCCGCGUGGGUGAAGAAGUAUUUCGGUAUGUAAAGCCCUAUCAGCAGGGAAGAAAGAAGACGGUACCUGACUAAGAAGCCCCGGCUAACUACGUGCCAGCAGCCGCGGUAAUACGUAGGGGGCGAGCGUUAUCCGGAUUCACUGGGUGUAAAGGGAGCGUAGACGGCCGUGCAAGCCAGGAGUGAAAGCCCGGGGCCCAACCCCGGGACUGCUCUUGGAACUGUGCGGCUGGAGUGCGGGAGGGGCAGGCGGAAUUCCUGGUGUAGCGGUGAAAUGCGUAGAUAUCAGCAGGAACACCGGCGGCGAAGGCGGCCUGCUGGACCGCGACUGACGUUGAGGCUCGAAAGCGUGGGGAGCGAACAGGAUUAGAUACCCGUGUAGUC